GACGAACGCUGGCGGCGUGCCUAAUACAUGCAAGUCGAACGCAGUGGGGACGGGUGAGUAACACGUGGGUAACAUCCCAUCAGAGGGGAUAACACUUGGAAACAGGUGCUAAACCGAUACUGGUGGAUGGACCCGCGGUGCAUUAGCUAGUUGGUGGGGUAACGGCUCACCAAGGCCACGAUGCCUAGCCGGCCUGAGAGGGUGACCGGCCACACUGGGACUGAGACACGGCCCAGACUCCUACGGGAGGCAGCAGUAGGGAAUCUUCGGCAAUGGACGAAAGUCUGAUGCAGCCAUGCCGCGUGUAUGAAGAAGGCCUUCGGGUUGUAAAGUGCUUUCAGCGGGGAGGCGUUACCCGCAGAAGAAGCACCGGCUAACUCCGUGCCAGCAGCCGCGGUAAUUC
Molecule: ribosomal RNA, 403 nt
Filed under: uncultured bacterium
Lineage: Bacteria
Description: partial 16S ribosomal RNA
Rfam family: Bacterial small subunit ribosomal RNA
Source: RNAcentral